Molecule: ribosomal RNA, 446 nt
Filed under: Scolopendra dehaani
Lineage: Eukaryota; Metazoa; Arthropoda; Chilopoda; Scolopendromorpha; Scolopendridae
Description: partial 16S ribosomal RNA
Rfam family: Bacterial large subunit ribosomal RNA
Source: RNAcentral
GGUCUUAUGAUUGAUAAUGUAAGAUUUGGCCUGCUCUAUGUAUAAUAAAUGGCCGCGGUAUAUUGACCGUGCGAAGGUAGCAUAAUAAUUAGGCUAUUAAUUGUGGUCUUGGAUGAAAGGUUGGACGAGGGAAAUACUUUCUUAUAGAUAUUGUUGAAUUUAAAUAAUUAGUAAAAAUGCUAAUAUGAUUUAAAAAGACGAGAAGACCCUAUUGAGUUUUAUAUUUAUUUUAUUUAUUAUAUUUGAUUGGGGCGAUAAUUAAUAAACAAUUUAUGUAAUUGAUCCAUUAUUAGUGAUUAAUAGAAUAAAUUACCAUAGGGAUAACAGCAUAAUUUGAUUGGAGAGUUCAUAUUGAUAUUCAAGUUUGUGACCUCGAUGUUGGAUUAAGAUUCCUUUUGGGUGCAGAUGCUUAAAUAGGUAGACUGUUCGUCUAUUAAAUUCUUACA